UCUUUGCCCCUCCAAUCUUCAUCCAAAUCUAACUACAAAUACAAGAUGGAUAAACUACUCUACCUAUACUAUACUAAUGAACCAAGGAAACUCUAGUGAAAACUACAUUUCUGGUGAGUUUCUCUAGCCUUCUCCCAAGUUAUUUUGAAUCCUGCAAGUCCAUGGCUAUAUAUAGAUGAAUGCAAUUAGGAAAUGAGGCUUGAAACAUCCCUUUUACAGCUGCUAAUUGGUUGUCAUACGUUCAUCCAUAGCUGUAAAUUGUUGAAGGAGAAAACAGGUUGUACCAGCAGCUAUUUCUGACCAGAAUUUGGCUACUUCAACUGCUAUUUUCUCUAUGAUGACGGCUGAAUUAGCUCUUGUGCAAAACAUAGAAGUUGUAGUCCAUUGAAAUAGCUGUCCAAUGCCUUAAGAAUCAUCCAAUUUGGAGCUGUAUAGACCGAGAUAUGAUAAAAUUACCACUGACUGGUCAAUUCCGCGUUUUCAGCUCUCAGCAGCAGACUUUUACUUCUGUAUUUUGACAUUUUGACCAGGAAAACAGUCGAAUUGGACUUUGAUGUUUUCAUACAAAAUAUAGAUCUGUCUCUUAGCUUCGAAAAUUGUUCAAGAAUCAUCUCAAUCCAAUGCAUGUAGCUCAAGAUAUAGCCAAAAUACCAAUAGAUGCCAAAGCUGACUUUUGUUUGAUUCUUUUGUUCUUAAAUUGCAUUUCCCAGCUGAGUUGAAUUUCGGUAUUUCAACUUUUGGACAAUGAAAACGGCUGAAUUAGAUUCUGAUGUCUUCAUACCAAAUUUAUAUCUAUCUCUUAGCUUCAAAAUGGUAUAAAGAUCACUUCAAUCCAAUCUGUGUAGCUCCAGAUAUAGUUAAAAUACCAAAAUGUCUCAGAGUUGUCAAAGCUGACUUUUCUUGAUUCAAAUUGCAUUUCUCCUUUUACACUUCAUAUUUUAUUUUCACCAUUUUAAUCCAUCUUCAAUCAUCCAAAUAUCUUCUCAAUACACUUCAUUUGAUGAUUGAAUCAUUAAACCUACAAAAUAUGAAGUUUUUACCAUAAAAAUCAAUAGAAAUGCAAUUUUCACACUUUAACCACAAAAUGCAUAUUUUCACUAGAAUUUUAGUUAAUUAUUUAUAAAAUUAAAUAAAACACACCAAAACUAAUUAAUAAAGUACACUAAAAAUACGUAAAAUAUACUCUUAUCAAAUACCCCCACACUUGAACCAUUGCUUGUUCUCAAGCAAUAAGAAAUACAAACCAACAAUGAUUCAAUUUUUGAAAAUAAACAUAUGUGCAUCAUUCCUCUUCAUUUUCUCAAAAAUAAGGUUAACAACCAUUAUGCAAUCAUUCAAUUAAGCUCAAGUACUCAUAAUAUCAAGUAAAGGAGAGCCAAUUAUACCGUCAUUAUAACAAAUUCAAAUCAAUUUUUCGUCCUUACCCAAUCUUACAAGUAAGUAACUCAUAUGGUCAAUAAAAUACUUCCUAAACUCAUGAUGAUUUUCUUAUUCCAAUUUAAAGAGGGAUUUAUUCAUAUAGUGUAGCUAAAUAUUACUUAAGUUGUGAAAGUGUCUUUUGACGCGAGAAUCGACAUUUUUAGAUUAAAAUCACAGGUUACUCAACACUUUACAUACUCAAAUUGCUUUGCAUACUCUUAAUUCGAAUACCGUUUUACGCGAAAGCCGACAUUUGUAGAUGAAGACUUCCGAUUACUAAGUAUAAGAAUCAUUGGAGUAGAACAAAUCUUAUUUUCUUUUUUCUUCUUUUUUUUCAAUUUUUUUCUUCUUCUUUUUUUAACAGCAAAGAUAAUAAUAAUUUUCUUAAAAGAAUAAUCAUGAGAAGAGUAUUGCACUUAUUAACCAUAUUUAUCACUUAACUUAUAAAAUCCAAUAAAGAGAAGAAAUUUCAAUAAAUAUGCACAAAAAAAAAUAGGCAUAAUUUUCUCCAUUUUACAAGAUAUAUUUUCCUAUAAGUACACGAAUUAUAAUCACAUAAUAGUCAUUUCCAAAUUAAAUAAGAAAAGAAGUUUUCAAAUCACAUAUAUUUAUCUCAAAUGCAGAAGGAAUUUGAACUACUAAUGGUAUGAAACUUUCUACCCCUUUAGAUAAAAAAAAAAUUGAAACUUUUUUGGGGCAAAUUCGUAAAUUUGGACAAGAUUUUGAAAACAAAUUUUGAAUUUAAGCACAAGUUCAAUAUUUGCAACCAACAAGUCAAUCACAUACAAUGUAUAUAAUCUCAAUUCUUCCCCCCACACUUAAUAUGCACAUUGUCCUCAAUGUGUAAAAAGAAAAAUUAAGAUAAAGAAAAGUAAUACUCCCCUAUUGUUGCGAUCGAAAUGCCAAAGCAUGAAAUUCACGAACCAUUGUCUACUUAUUUCCAAUGCUUCAUGCGUUCCAUUUGAUAAUCAUUAGUAAUAUUAACCUAAAGAUAGAAAAUGAAAAAUAACCAAAUAACUUAAUACAUAAUUUAAACAUGAAAUCACACAAAAAUAAAAUAGCCAAAACAUUGGGUUACCUCCCAAUAAGCGCUUUUGUUUAUAGUCAUUGGCUCGACUUUUUCACCUCAUUUUUUCUUCAAGGAGGCUUAGUUAACGAAUAAUCUACCAUUUUUGGACGUGGUGGAUCAUUAAAUGGUGACUUUAUAGCAAAAGUCACAUGAUCUAAUGAUGUGAGAAAUAGAAGUGACUGACCUAUCCCAAGUGUUUCAUAGAUAUUACCUUGAGUAUACACCACUUGAGAACUUACCAAAUGAAAUGCCAUGAGAGUAUCUUGAGCAGCAAUACCCUUAGAACCUAUACUUUCAAUGCACUCCUCAAGAGGGGUGAAAAAUGAGUCAUUGAAACUCACCUCUUGAGACUCAAAAUUAGUUCCAAAGAUAUUAUCAUGUGAAAUGGAUAUUUGCUUAUUAAAACACACUUGAGAUUCAUCAUUUUCAUCAAAAUGCAACCCAUUUUCACAUACAACAUUCCCACCAUUCAUGCUAGGAUCAUUUUGCAAAUUAUUAGAGAAAAUAACUUCACACAAUGCAUUCAAUUGCUCAUGUAUUCUACCAAAGUGAGAAGCUAAUUCAUCUAUUCUUUCCUCAAUCCUAUCAAAACGGUCGGAAGUUGCAUUUGCUAGCUUUUCUAAUACUAAAUCAAAUUGAUUAGAAAAAUUUUCUACAACUAGCUUUCAAGAUGCAUUAGAAUCAUUAGUUAACGGUUCACUUUCUAACUCCCAAGGUAGAGGUGCAUUAGCUAACUUCUCUAUUGCCAACUCCCAAGAUGGUUUUGAUUCAUAUUGGACACUUUCAGGUUGGUAAUCAUAAAAAUAUGGAUAAUCACUAUAUGUACAUUGAUUAUCCCAACCAUUAGCAGGAGAAUUGCUCCAAUUAGCACUAUAUCGAUCAAAACAAGGAUUGUAAUGCUCUAAUUUAUCAUAAUAAUCCACAUUUUGUGCUUGCACACAUGUGUUAGUAGCAUGAUAACUUCCACACAAGUCACAAAUCACAUGAUAAGAAUUAAAAGUAUUAACAUUCCUCCCUUGCUCAAUUUCAUGCAUAAUUGUGUCCAUUUGAACUUGUAGCAUCAUAACAUCAAAUUUAGCCUUUAAGCACCUUAAACCAUCUUCAAAAGACAUACAUUCAGUUAAUUCUUGGUUACCUCUGUUGAAAGAGCUUUGCACUUGGUAACCAUCCAUUGCCAAACUUCCAUUUCUCAAGCAUUGUCCUCCAAAUUGACCUACCCUUCUCAUCACCUAAAAUUGCUUCUAAACAACCUCAAAAGCAAAAUUAGUAAGAAAAAUAGGUAAUGAAACACAUACACACAUAAAACACAAAAAUAACAGAAAAUAACAUUCACACUAUAACUAAUGAAAUGUUUAAACUAAUAAUGUUGCUCUUCACACCGAUAUUGCCAAAUCUUCCCCGGCAACGGCGCCAAAAACUUGACGUGCGCGGGGUAUAGAUAUAAUAUUAAACUCAUCCCAAUCAAGUUUUACAUUUAUAAAUUCCUAAAUACCCCACACGCGAUUUAUCGUAAGUAUACGAAUCGUGAGCGAGUAUAGGGUAUUAAGGGUCGAUCCCACAGGGAAGAAUGCAAUUACCGAUGUUUUUCGAACUCCUUUAUUAUCUAGACUAUCAUAAAUAUAAAAGUAAUAAAAAUAACACUAGAAAGCUUCUAGAGAUAUGAAAUUCCUUACUACUCUUGCAAAUGAGAUUACCGGUUAAGUGAAUGCUAUUAUUUUGACUAGUUAUAGCGUAAUUUCCUAAUGUAUGUGAAACCAACUUUCGUAGUGAAUCAACUAUACUUGUAAUUAAGCCAUACCUACUCUCGUGGUUAUGAAAUUGACUACAAGUUCAUUUCUUCUAUGAAAUUACAUGAAACAAGUCACUUAAGCCACAUAGGUGCACCUCUACUUUCGUGAGUGUACUCCCUAGGCUUAUCACUUCUUUGAACUAGUGUUAAAUUCUAAUUUUCAUUGCAAACUUAACACCUUAUGAUUAUCAUAAUUAAUGGCCAGUUAAUCAUGAUUAGAUAACCAAAAGUGAUAAAUAACGUGCUCAAAAUAAUAUCAUCAAAUAGCCAAGUAAACCUCACAAACCAAAUAUAGCAAGUUCAACCAUAACUCUAGGCAUAAACUUUAACUAAACAUAAUAAAAAAACAAAGCCAACUUGUAUUAUAAUUAAACAUGAAAUCCAAUACAAGAGAGAAAGUAGUAGAAGAGAUAUCACCCUUGUCACAUGAGAUCAACCUCUUCAUCUUUGCCCCUCCAAUCUUCAUCCAAAUCUAACUACAAAUACAAGAUGGAUAAACUACUCUACCUAUACUAUACUAAUGAACCAAGGAAACUCUAGUGAAAACUACAUUUCUGGUGAGUUUCUCUAGCCUUCUCCCAAGUUAUUUUGAAUCCUGCAAGUCCAUGGCUAUAUAUAGAUGAAUGCAAUCAGGAAAUGAGGCUUGAAACAUCCCUUUUACAGCUGCUAAUUGGUUGUCAUACGUUCAUCCAUAGCUGUAAAUUGUUGAAGGAGAAAACAGGUUGUACCAGCAGCUAUUUCUGACCAGAAU
RNAcentral lists this long non-coding RNA (5028 nucleotides) under Coffea arabica (coffee). RNAcentral describes it as "long non-coding RNA (CARA_LNC004137)". Lineage: Eukaryota; Viridiplantae; Streptophyta; Magnoliopsida; Gentianales; Rubiaceae. The record is from RNAcentral.